GAUGAAUGUGAAGUUUAUGAAAAGGAAAUUAUGGAUAGUAAUAAGCUUGAUAUUUGGUUUAGGUGAUACCAGUAUCCAAGUCUAAGCUCCUUUGACUUUAGGCUCUCGGUUCCUCUGCUUUCAGGUAAGGGAUAAGUUAUAUGGGCAUUUGUUAGCAGGUUUUAUUUUGAAACAGAGGGAGCCUUAGUCGAGUUUUGGAAGGAGCUGGUUUAGUUUUAUAUGUAUAGAUCCUAAAUUAGCAAUAUGAUGUUUAGAUUUGUAGCAUUGUUUAUUUUA
Molecule: long non-coding RNA, 276 nt
Organism: Quercus lobata
Lineage: Eukaryota; Viridiplantae; Streptophyta; Magnoliopsida; Fagales; Fagaceae
Exons: 2
Source: RefSeq, a predicted model, not a curated record